AUUGAACGCUGGCGGCAGGCCUAACACAUGCAAGUCGAGCGGUAGAGAGGUGCUUGCAUCUCUUGAGAGCGGCGGACGGGUGAGUAAUGCCUAGGAAUCUGCCUGGUGGUGGGGGAUAACGUUCGGAAACGGACGCUAAUACCGCAUACGACCUACGGGUGAAAGCGGGGGAUCGCAAGACCUCGCGCUAUUGGAGCGGCCGAUGUCAGAUUAGCUAGUUGGUGGGGUAAAAGCCUACCAAGGCGACGAUCUGUAGCUGGUCUGAGAGGACGACCAGCCACACUGGGGACUGAGACACGGCCCAGACUCCUACGGGAGGCAGCAGUGGGGAAUUUUGGACAAUGGGGGGCAACCCUGAUCCAGCCAUGCCGCGUGCGGGAAGAAGGCCUCGGUGUAAGACUCUUUGUUCUAGGGAAGAAACGGUA
Molecule: ribosomal RNA, 425 nt
Filed under: uncultured bacterium
Lineage: Bacteria
Description: bacterial SSU rRNA
Rfam family: Bacterial small subunit ribosomal RNA
Source: RNAcentral